This is a long non-coding RNA of Cannabis sativa, 1270 nucleotides long. RefSeq lists it as uncharacterized. The record is from RefSeq and is a predicted model, not a curated record. The transcript is spliced from 2 exons. NCBI's taxonomy places the organism in Eukaryota, Viridiplantae, Streptophyta, Magnoliopsida, Rosales, Cannabaceae.
GACUAGAAUGCCCUUGUAUGUGUGAGUAGGUGAAAAUUGGCCCUAGGGGCAUUUCAGUCUUUUGACCUUUAAUGAUAUGUUUUGAUAGAAAUGGAUUUUUAAGGAAAGAGAAAAUUGAUUUUCUGGUUUCUAAUCCUUGUUACCCGUCCCUCUCUCUCUAUCUCUCUAAACCUAUCUUUUUCAACUUUGAUUUUGGAAAGAAAUUUGCUUGAAUUGGAGCUUCAAAUUUGUGGAUUUUUGAGCUUGGAAUUGAAGGGAGUUCUAGCUAUAUUUGAGGUAGUUUUACAGUUCUUAAUUUUGAUUGUUGUUGCUGAAUUUGUUGGUUGAGAAGCAUGUUUUCUAAGUCUUAAUGCUCUUGAUUGCAUGAGUGUUAAUCUUGAUGAAUUGAGUGUGUUAAUCUUUGGAUUUAAGUUCUUGAGCAUGGAUUUUGAUUCUAGGGUACUUUCUAAUAUUGAAUCAUGUGUUAUUGUGAUGUUGUGUUGGCUGGAAAAUUGUUUAAAUGGCUGAAGAUGAAGCUCUUGUUCUUGAGCUUGGAAUUUGCUUAGUUUGAGCAUGAUUUUGUUGUGUUUAUGCAAUCUGAAUUUUUGGCUUUUGCAAUGAGAAUUUAGAUGCAUUUGGGUUGUGAUUUUUGAGCCUUAUUAUGCGUUUUUACCCUCUGUUUGGUUGGGGUUCGAAAUCUAGGAAAGGUUGGCAUUUUAAGACCUUAAAAAUGGAGUUUUGGGGUGUUCUAAACCCAGUCGUCGCGACGGGAUUUUCGGCCGUCGCGACUGGAUUUGCCAGUGAUAAAUUCUGUUUUCUCAAUUUUGUUUUGGCCAUAACUUUUGACUCGGGACUCCGUUUGGGAUGUUCUUUAUAUCGUUGGAAAGCUCGUUCCGAGCUCUAUUUGAUUAUCUAUGUUUUGAAUGCCAUGUUUAUAUUUUGUGAAAGUGAAAUUGGGGAUUAACCCUAUUUGUGAAAUCCCGGAUUGUGUGACUAGGAUUACCGGCACCUGAUCAGGAGCACCCAGGGGUUUGGAAUCUCUGUUAUUGCGGGACAAUAGGAAAGGGUAAGUCAGUGGCUGAUCAACCAUGAGUUUGAGGAGCAAAACGAAGAAUGUACAUGUUCAAGCCAUAUCAGACCAAGCGGGUUAAGGGUCUAUCAGUGUUGAACUUUUGAAUUCUGUUUUGCCGCUUAGGUCGACUAGAAAGAAAAGACUUGUAAUAAGUUUGUAAUUAUUUUUUUGGGAUCCCAACUGUUUUGAAAGUUUAAAUAUAUUACAAGUUUAUUUUCA